The sequence is a transfer RNA, 82 nucleotides long. It matches the Rfam family "tRNA". Rfam says of the family: Transfer RNA (tRNA) molecules are approximately 80 nucleotides in length. Their secondary structure includes four short double-helical elements and three loops (D, anti-codon, and T loops). Further hydrogen bonds mediate the characteristic L-shaped molecular structure. tRNAs have two regions of fundamental functional importance: the anti-codon, which is responsible for specific mRNA codon recognition, and the 3' end, to which the tRNAs corresponding amino acid is attached (by aminoacyl-tRNA synthetases). tRNAs cope with the degeneracy of the genetic code in two manners: having more than one tRNA (with a specific anti-codon) for a particular amino acid; and 'wobble' base-pairing, i.e. permitting non-standard base-pairing at the 3rd anti-codon position.
GGCACUUUGGCCGAGUGGUUAAGGCGAAAGACUUGAAAUCUUUUGGGAUUUUCCCGCGCAGGUUCGAGUCCUGCAGGUGUCG